GAGGGGAUGAGGAUAGGUAGGUAGUGGGAGGGGAUGUGGAUAGGUAGGUAGUCGGAGGGGAUGAGGAUAGGUAGGUAGUCGGAGGGGAUGAGAAUAGGUAGGUAGUCGGAGGGGAUGAGGAUAGGUAGGUAGUCGGAGGGGAUGAGGAUAGGUAGGUAGUCGGAGGGGAUGAGGAUAGGUAGGUAGUGGGAGGGGAUGAGGAUAGGUAGGUAGUCGGAGGGGAUGAGGAUAGGUAGGUAGUCGGAGGGGAUGAGGAUAGGUAGGUAGUGGGAGGGGAUGAGGAUAGCUAGGUAGUCAGAGGGGAUGAGGAUAGCUAGGUAGUCAGAGGGGAUGAGGAUAGCUAGGUAGUCGGAGGGGAUGAGGAUAGCUAGGUAGUCAGAGGGGAUGAGGAUAGCUAGGUAGUCAGAGGGGAUGAGGAUAGCUAGGUAGUCAGAGGGGAUGAGGAUAGCUAGGUAGUCAGAGGGGAUGAGGAUAGCUAGGUAGUCAGAGGGGAUGAGGAUAGCUAGGUAGUCAGAGGGGAUGAGGAUAGCUAGGGGUGGUAAUAAUGGUGUAUAACAUCACGUAUGGGGAUCAGUAGUCUACCACAGAGGAGAGGAGGUCCUGGGUGACUGGUCUGCAGACCUGGGUUCAAACUACUUUAAAUAGUUAAACAUGCUUAAUAUAUUGUUGAUUGAGAUUGUCUGGCUUAACAGACCAGUAGCACAGUCCUAAAACCGCAAAAUCCACCCAUCAGACCCCGCCCACCAGGCCGCUCCC
This is a long non-coding RNA of Oncorhynchus keta (chum salmon), 756 nucleotides long. RefSeq lists it as uncharacterized. NCBI's taxonomy places the organism in Eukaryota, Metazoa, Chordata, Actinopteri, Salmoniformes, Salmonidae. The record is from RefSeq and is a predicted model, not a curated record. The transcript is spliced from 5 exons.